AGAGUUUGAUCAUGGCUCAGAACGUACGCUGGCGGCACGCCUAACACAUGCAAGUCGAACGAAGUAGCAAUACUUAGUGGCAGACGGGUGAGUAACAUGUAGGUAUCUGCCCUUUGGCCUGGAAUAACACGAGGAAACUUGUGCUAAUACUGGAUAAGUCUUUACGGAGAAAGCUUUAUGCACCAUUGGAUGAGCCUGCACUUGAUUAGUUUGUUGGUAGGGUAAUGGCCUACCAAGACUUUGAUCAAUAGCUGAUUUGAGAGGAUGAUCAGCCACAUUGGGACUGAGACACGGCCCAGACUCCUACGGGAGGCAGCAGUGGGGAAUCUUGCACAAUGGAGGAAACUCUGAUGCAGCGAUGCCGCGUGAGUGAAGAAGGCCUUUGGGUUGUAAAGCUCUUUCGUCGGGGAAGAAAAUGACUGUACCCGAAUAAGAAGGUCCGGCUAACUUCGUGCCAGCAGCCGCGGUAAUACGAAGGGACCUAGCGUAGUUCGGAAUUACUGGGCUUAAAGAGUUCGUAGGUGGUUGAAAAAGUUGGUGGUGAAAUCCCAGAGCUUAACUCUGGAACUGCCAUCAAAACUUUUCAGCUAGAGUUUGAUAGAGGAAAGCAGAAUUUCUAGUGUAGAGGUGAAAUUCGUAGAUAUUAGAAAGAAUACCAAAUGCGAAGGCAGCUUUCUGGAUCAUUACUGACACUGAGGAACGAAAGCAUGGGUAGCGAAGAGGAUUAGAUACCCUCGUAGUCCAUGCCGUAAACGAUGUGUGUUAGACGUUGGAAAUUUAUUUUCAGUGUCGCAGCGAAAGCAAUAAACACACCGCCUGGGGAGUACGACCGCAAGGUUAAAACUCAAAUGAAUUGACGGGGACCCGCACAAGUAGUGGAGCAUGUGGUUUAAUUCGAAGAUACGCGCAGAACCUUACCAACACUUGACAUGUUCGUCGCGACUUUAAGAGAUUAAAGUUUUCGGUUCGGCCGGACGAAACACAGGUGCUGCAUGGCUGUCGUCAGCUCGUGUCGUGAGAUGUUGGGUUAAGUCCCGCAACGAGCGCAACCCUCACUUUUAGUUGCCAUCAUUUAGUUGGGCACUCUGAAAGAACUGCCAGUGAUAAGCUGGAGGAAGGUGGGGAUGACGUCAAGUCCUCAUGGCCCUUACGUGUUGGGCUACACACGUGCUACAAUGAUAUUUACAACAGGAAGCAAAACGGCGACGUUAAGCAAAUCCUCAAAAAAUAUCUCAGUUCGGAUUGCACUCUGCAACUCGAGUGCAUGAAGCUGGAAUUACUAGUAAUCGUGGAUCAGCGUGCCACGGUGAAUGCGUUCCCGGGUCUUGUACACACCGCCCGUCACACCAUGGGAGUUGGUUCUACCUUAAGGCAAGGUUUAAAAUCCUUGACCACGGUAUAGUCAGCGACUGGGGUGAAGUCGUAACAAGGUAACCGUA
RNAcentral lists this ribosomal RNA (1439 nucleotides) under uncultured bacterium. RNAcentral's name for it is "bacterial SSU rRNA". It matches the Rfam family "Bacterial small subunit ribosomal RNA". The record is from RNAcentral.